CUAAAUACUCCCUAGUGACCGAUAGUGAACCAGUACCGUGAGGGAAAGGUGAAAAGCACCCCGGGAGGGGAGUGAAAUAGAACCUGAAACCGUGUGCCUACAACAAGUUCGAGCCCGUUAAUGGGUGAGAGCGUGCCUUUUGUAGAAUGAACCGGCGAGUUACGAUAUGAUGCGAGGUUAAGUUGAAGAGACGGAGCCGCAGGGAAACCGAGUCUUAAUAGGGCGCCAUAGUAUCAUGUCGUAGACCCGAAACCAUGUGACCUACCCAUGAGCAGGUUGAAGGUGAGGUAAAACUCACUGGAGGACCGAACCAGGGCACGUUGAAAAGUGCUUGGAUGACUUGUGGGUAGCGGAGAAAUUCCAAACGAACUUGGAGAUAGCUGGUUCUCUCCGAAAUAGCUUUAGGGCUAGCGUCGAUGUUAAGUCUCUUGGAGGUAGAGCACUGUUUGGGUGAGGGGUCCAUCCCGGAUUACCAAUCUCAGAUAAACUCCGAAUGCCAAUGAGAUAUAAUCGGCAGUCAGACUGCGAGUGCUAAGAUCCGUAGUCGAAAGGGAAACAGCCCAGACCACCAGCUAAGGUCCCAAAAUAUAUGUUAAGUGGAAAAGGAUGUGGGGUUGCACAGACAACUAGGAUGUUAGCUUAGAAGCAGCUAUUCAUUCAAAGAGUGCGUAAUAGCUCACUAGUCGAGUGACCCUGCGCCGAAAAUGUACCGGGGCUAAAACAUAUUACCGAAGCUGUGGAUACCUUUAUAGGUAUGGUAGGAGAGCGUUCUAUGUGCGAAGAAGGUGUACCGUGAGGAGUGCUGGAGCGCAUAGAAGUGAGAAUGCCGGUAUGAGUAGCGAAAGACAGGUGAGAAUCCUGUCCACCGUAAGACUAAGGUUUCCAGGGGAAGGCUCGUCCGCCCUGGGUUAGUCGGGACCUAAGGAGAGACCGAAAGGUGUAUCCGAUGGCCAACAGGUUGAUAUUCCUGUACUAGAGUAUAUAGUGAUGGAGGGACGCAGUAGGCUAACUAAACCAGACGAAUGGAAGAGUCUGGCCAAGCAGUGAGGUGUGAUAUGAGUCAAAUGCUUAUAUCUCUAACAUUGAGCUGUGAUGGGGAGCGAAGUUUAGUAGCGAAGUUAGUGAUGUCACACUGCCAAGAAAAGCUUCUAGCGUUACACAUACUCUACCCGUACCGCAAACCGACACAGGUAGUCGAGGCGAGUAGCCUCAGGUGAGCGAGAGAACUCUCGUUAAGGAACUCGGCAAAAUGACCCCGUAACUUCGGGAGAAGGGGUGCUGACUUUACGUCAGCCGCAGUGAAUAGGCCCAAGCAACUGUUUAUCAAAAACACAGCUCUCUGCUAAAUCGUAAGAUGAUGUAUAGGGGGUGACGCCUGCCCGGUGCUGGAAGGUUAAGAGGAGUGCUUAGCGUAAGCGAAGGUAUGAAUUGAAGCCCCAGUAAACGGCGGCCGUAACUAUAACGGUCCUAAGGUAGCGAAAUUCCUUGUCGGGUAAGUUCCGACCCGCACGAAAGGCGUAAUGAUUUGGGCACUGUCUCAACGAGAGACUCGGUGAAAUUUUAGUACCUGUGAAGAUGCAGGUUACCCGCGACAGGACGGAAAGACCCCAUGGAGCUUUACUGCAGUUUGAUAUUGAGUAUCUGUACCACAUGUACAGGAUAGGUAGGAGCCUAGGACCUCGGGACGCCAGUUUCGAGUGAGGCGUUGUUGGGAUACUACCCUUGUGUUAUGGCUACUCUAACCCAGAUAGGUUAUCCCUAUCGGAGACAGUGUCUGACGGGCAGUUUGACUGGGGCGGUCGCCUCCUAAAAGGUAACGGAGGCGCCCAAAGGUUCCCUCAGAAUGGUUGGAAAUCAUUCGCAGAGUGUAAAGGUAUAAGGGAGCUUGACUGCGAGAGCUACAACUCGAGCAGGGACGAAAGUCGGGCUUAGUGAUCCGGUGGUUCCGCAUGGAAGGGCCAUCGCUCAACGGAUAAAAGCUACCCUGGGGAUAACAGGCUUAUCUCCCCCAAGAGUUCACAUCGACGGGGAGGUUUGGCACCUCGAUGUCGGCUCGUCGCAUCCUGGGGCUGUAGUCGGUCCCAAGGGUUGGGCUGUUCGCCCAUUAAAGCGGCACGCGAGCUGGGUUCAGAACGUCGUGAGACAGUUCGGUCCCUAUCCGUCGCGGGCGUAGGAAAUUUGAGAGGAUCUGCUCCUAGUACGAGAGGACCAGAGUGGACUUACCGCUGGUGUACCAGUUGUUCUGCCAAGAGCAUCGCUGGGUAGCUAUGUAGGGAAGGGAUAAACGCUGAAAGCAUCUAAGUGUGAA
RNAcentral lists this ribosomal RNA (2308 nucleotides) under human gut metagenome. RNAcentral's name for it is "bacterial LSU rRNA". It matches the Rfam family "Bacterial large subunit ribosomal RNA", at positions 466 to 2791 of the family's 2925-position model. The record is from RNAcentral.